CCUACGGGAGGCUGCAGUGAGGAAUAUUGGUCAAUGGGCGCGAGCCUGAACCAGCCAAGUCGCGUGAGGGAUGAAGGUUCUAUGGAUCGUAAACCUCUUUUAUAAGGGAAUAAAGUGUGGGACGUGUCCUAUUUUGUAUGUACCUUAUGAAUAAGGAUCGGCUAACUCCGUGCCAGCAGCCGCGGUAAUACGGAGGAUCCGAGCGUUAUCCGGAUUUAUUGGGUUUAAAGGGUGCGUAGGCGGGCUUUUAAGUCAGCGGUGAAAGUUGGUGGCUCAACCAUAGAAUUGCCGUUGAAACUGGGGGGCUUGAGUGUGUUAGAGGCAGGCGGAAUGCGUGGUGUAGCGGUGAAAUGCUUAGAUAGCACGCAGAACCCCGAUUGCGAAGGCAGCCUGCCGGGCCAUGACUGACGCUGAUGCACGAAAGCGUGGGGAUCAAACAGGAUUAGAUACCCGAGUAGUC
Molecule: ribosomal RNA, 460 nt
Filed under: uncultured bacterium
Lineage: Bacteria
Description: partial 16S ribosomal RNA
Rfam family: Bacterial small subunit ribosomal RNA
Source: RNAcentral